Molecule: transfer RNA, 75 nt
Filed under: Haloarcula pellucida
Lineage: Archaea; Methanobacteriati; Methanobacteriota; Halobacteria; Halobacteriales; Haloarculaceae
Also listed under: 1 other name
Description: Halomicroarcula pellucida tRNA-Thr
Rfam family: tRNA
About the family: Transfer RNA (tRNA) molecules are approximately 80 nucleotides in length. Their secondary structure includes four short double-helical elements and three loops (D, anti-codon, and T loops). Further hydrogen bonds mediate the characteristic L-shaped molecular structure. tRNAs have two regions of fundamental functional importance: the anti-codon, which is responsible for specific mRNA codon recognition, and the 3' end, to which the tRNAs corresponding amino acid is attached (by aminoacyl-tRNA synthetases). tRNAs cope with the degeneracy of the genetic code in two manners: having more than one tRNA (with a specific anti-codon) for a particular amino acid; and 'wobble' base-pairing, i.e. permitting non-standard base-pairing at the 3rd anti-codon position.
Source: RNAcentral
GCCAGGGGAGCUUGGGUGGUCCAAGCACUCGACUUGUAAUCGAGAGUUCGUGGGUUCAAAUCCCACCCCUGGCUC